AGCGUACACGGUGGAUGCCCUGGCAGUCAGAGGCGAUGAAGGACGUGCUAAUCUGCGAUAAGCGUCGGUAAGGUGAUAUGAACCGUUAUAACCGGCGAUUUCCGAAUGGGGAAACCCAGUGUGAUUCGUCACACUAUCAUUAACUGAAUCCAUAGGUUAAUGAGGCGAACCGGGGGAACUGAAACAUCUAAGUACCCCGAGGAAAAGAAAUCAACCGAGAUUCCCCCAGUAGCGGCGAGCGAACGGGGAGCAGCCCAGAGCCUGAAUCAGUGUGUGUGUUAGUGGAAGCGUCUGGAAAGGCGCGCGAUACAGGGUGACAGCCCCGUACACAAAAAUGCACAUGCUGUGAGCUCGAUGAGUAGGGCGGGACACGUGGUAUCCUGUCUGAAUAUGGGGGGACCAUCCUCCAAGGCUAAAUACUCCUGACUGACCGAUAGUGAACCAGUACCGUGAGGGAAAGGCGAAAAGAACCCCGGCGAGGGGAGUGAAAAAGAACCUGAAACCGUGUACGUACAAGCAGUGGGAGCACGCUUAGGCGUGUGACUGCGUACCUUUUGUAUAAUGGGUCAGCGACUUAUAUUCUGUAGCAAGGUUAACCGAAUAGGGGAGCCGAAGGGAAACCGAGUCUUAACUGGGCGUUAAGUUGCAGGGUAUAGACCCGAAACCCGGUGAUCUAGCCAUGGGCAGGUUGAAGGUUGGGUAACACUAACUGGAGGACCGAACCGACUAAUGUUGAAAAAUUAGCGGAUGACUUGUGGCUGGGGGUGAAAGGCCAAUCAAACCGGGAGAUAGCUGGUUCUCCCCGAAAGCUAUUUAGGUAGCGCCUCGUGAAUUCAUCUCCGGGGGUAGAGCACUGUUUCGGCAAGGGGGUCAUCCCGACUUACCAACCCGAUGCAAACUGCGAAUACCGGAGAAUGUUAUCACGGGAGACACACGGCGGGUGCUAACGUCCGUCGUGAAGAGGGAAACAACCCAGACCGCCAGCUAAGGUCCCAAAGUCAUGGUUAAGUGGGAAACGAUGUGGGAAGGCCCAGACAGCCAGGAUGUUGGCUUAGAAGCAGCCAUCAUUUAAAGAAAGCGUAAUAGCUCACUGGUCGAGUCGGCCUGCGCGGAAGAUGUAACGGGGCUAAACCAUGCACCGAAGCUGCGGCAGCGACGCUUAUGCGUUGUUGGGUAGGGGAGCGUUCUGUAAGCCUGUGAAGGUGUGCUGUGAGGCAUGCUGGAGGUAUCAGAAGUGCGAAUGCUGACAUAAGUAACGAUAAAGCGGGUGAAAAGCCCGCUCGCCGGAAGACCAAGGGUUCCUGUCCAACGUUAAUCGGGGCAGGGUGAGUCGACCCCUAAGGCGAGGCCGAAAGGCGUAGUCGAUGGGAAACAGGUUAAUAUUCCUGUACUUGGUGUUACUGCGAAGGGGGGACGGAGAAGGCUAUGUUGGCCGGGCGACGGUUGUCCCGGUUUAAGCGUGUAGGCUGGUUUUCCAGGCAAAUCCGGAAAAUCAAGGCUGAGGCGUGAUGACGAGGCACUACGGUGCUGAAGCAACAAAUGCCCUGCUUCCAGGAAAAGCCUCUAAGCAUCAGGUAACAUCAAAUCGUACCCCAAACCGACACAGGUGGUCAGGUAGAGAAUACCAAGGCGCUUGAGAGAACUCGGGUGAAGGAACUAGGCAAAAUGGUGCCGUAACUUCGGGAGAAGGCACGCUGAUAUGUAGGUGAAGUCCCUCGCGGAUGGAGCUGAAAUCAGUCGAAGAUACCAGCUGGCUGCAACUGUUUAUUAAAAACACAGCACUGUGCAAACACGAAAGUGGACGUAUACGGUGUGACGCCUGCCCGGUGCCGGAAGGUUAAUUGAUGGGGUCAGCGCAAGCGAAGCUCUUGAUCGAAGCCCCGGUAAACGGCGGCCGUAACUAUAACGGUCCUAAGGUAGCGAAAUUCCUUGUCGGGUAAGUUCCGACCUGCACGAAUGGCGUAAUGAUGGCCAGGCUGUCUCCACCCGAGACUCAGUGAAAUUGAACUCGCUGUGAAGAUGCAGUGUACCCGCGGCAAGACGGAAAGACCCCGUGAACCUUUACUAUAGCUUGACACUGAACAUUGAGCCUUGAUGUGUAGGAUAGGUGGGAGGCUUAGAAGUGUGGACGCCAGUCUGCAUGGAGCCGACCUUGAAAUACCACCCUUUAAUGUUUGAUGUUCUAACGUUGACCCGUAAUCCGGGUUGCGGACAGUGUCUGGUGGGUAGUUUGACUGGGGCGGUCUCCUCCUAAAGAGUAACGGAGGAGCACGAAGGUUGGCUAAUCCUGGUCGGACAUCAGGAGGUUAGUGCAAUGGCAUAAGCCAGCUUGACUGCGAGCGUGACGGCGCGAGCAGGUGCGAAAGCAGGUCAUAGUGAUCCGGUGGUUCUGAAUGGAAGGGCCAUCGCUCAACGGAUAAAAGGUACUCCGGGGAUAACAGGCUGAUACCGCCCAAGAGUUCAUAUCGACGGCGGUGUUUGGCACCUCGAUGUCGGCUCAUCACAUCCUGGGGCUGAAGUAGGUCCCAAGGGUAUGGCUGUUCGCCAUUUAAAGUGGUACGCGAGCUGGGUUUAGAACGUCGUGAGACAGUUCGGUCCCUAUCUGCCGUGGGCGCUGGAGAACUGAGGGGGGCUGCUCCUAGUACGAGAGGACCGGAGUGGACGCAUCACUGGUGUUCGGGUUGUCAUGCCAAUGGCACUGCCCGGUAGCUAAAUGCGGAAGAGAUAAGUGCUGAAAGCAUCUAAGCACGAAACUUGCCCCGAGAUGAGUUCU
This 2773-nucleotide ribosomal RNA is filed under the name Escherichia coli. Its description in RNAcentral is "bacterial LSU rRNA". It matches the Rfam family "Bacterial large subunit ribosomal RNA". Lineage: Bacteria; Pseudomonadati; Pseudomonadota; Gammaproteobacteria; Enterobacterales; Enterobacteriaceae. The record is from RNAcentral.